RNAcentral lists this ribosomal RNA (354 nucleotides) under uncultured bacterium. RNAcentral describes it as "bacterial SSU rRNA". It matches the Rfam family "Bacterial small subunit ribosomal RNA", at positions 28 to 378 of the family's 1533-position model. The record is from RNAcentral.
GAUGAACGCUAGCGGCAGGCUUAAUACAUGCAAGUCGUACGGGAUCCGAGGUAGCAAUACUUUGGUGAGAGUGGCGCACGGGUGCGUAACACGUAUGCAACCUACCUUUAACCGGGACACAACCCACCGAAAGGUGAGCUAAUAUCCCAUAACACUGCGAAGUGGCAUCACUUUGCAGUUAAAAACUCCGGUGGUUAUGGAUGGGCAUGCGCGACAUUAGCUAGUUGGUGAGGUAACGGCCCACCAAGGCUACGAUGUCUAGGGGUUCUGAGAGGAUUAUCCCCCANACUGGUACUGAGACACGGACCAGACUCCUACGGGAGGCAGCAGUAAGGAAUAUUGGUCAAUGGGCGC